CCUACGGGAGGCAGCAGUGGGGAAUUUUGGACAAUGGGCGCAAGCCUGAUCCAGCCAUGCCGCGUGUCUGAAGAAGGCCUUCGGGUUGUAAAGGACUUUUGUCAGGGAAGAAAAGGGCGGGGUUAAUACCCCUGUCUGAUGACGGUACCUGAAGAAUAAGCACCGGCUAACUACGUGCCAGCAGCCGCGGUAAUACGUAGGGUGCGAGCGUUAAUCGGAAUUACUGGGCGUAAAGCGGGCGCAGACGGUUACUUAAGCAGGAUGUGAAAUCCCCGGGCUCAACCUGGGAACUGCGUUCUGAACUGGGUGACUAGAGUGUGUCAGAGGGGGGUAGAAUUCCACGUGUAGCAGUGAAAUGCGUAGAGAUGUGGAGGAAUACCGAUGGCGAAGGCAGCCUCCUGGGAUAACACUGACGUUCAUGCCCGAAAGCGUGGGUAGCAAACAGGAUUAGAUACCCUGGUAGUCCACGCCCUAAACGAUGUCGAUUAGCUGUUGGGCAGCAUGACUGCUUAGUAGCGAAGCUAACGCGUGAAAUCGACCGCCUGGGGAGUACGGUCGCAAGAUUAAAACUCAAAGGAAUUGACGG
This 586-nucleotide ribosomal RNA is filed under the name uncultured bacterium. RNAcentral describes it as "bacterial SSU rRNA". It matches the Rfam family "Bacterial small subunit ribosomal RNA", at positions 338 to 916 of the family's 1533-position model. The record is from RNAcentral.